CUCGUGGCGGAGCGGGCUCCAGCCGCUGGGGAGGGACAUGCUGCGUUCCCCGGCCACCUCCUGCCAGGGGAAUUCGGCAGGCAAUAGAUACGCGGGAUUGACGGCGCGUUCGCUGUUCCACAGGCGCACAAAAUGCAGUGCUGGCGGAGCGGGAGAAUGAAAAGCAAAGGCGCACCCCGUAAUCGGUUCGCCCGCGCCUGGUGCGCAGAGGAGAAAGAGGCUGUGCCUGAGGCACGACACGGCGAGCCGCACCGCUUUUGCCUCCCUGCCAUUUGCUGACAGCCGCAUUCUGCAGGGACGGGAUUCAGAGCCGCCCUGACGUUACGCAGAAUAACGUCCGCGUUUCACUGCACUGCACAGCGCAGUCGGGAGUGUCCUGCAAGUUUCUAAGCCCCUUUCCUGCAAUCCAUUCAUCGCAAUACCACCCGCAGUCGAAAAGCAGCAGUGCUGAAAGGCAACCGCUGGACGCUCAAGGAGCUCCAACUGUCACCCUCCCUCUUCUACCCAGGAAUCUGUCACCUCUGAGAUCCUUACCUCUCCCAAAGUUAAAUAAAACUGGCCAAUUAGCUUCUUUUAUAUAUAUAUAUAUAUAUAUAUAUA
This 600-nucleotide long non-coding RNA is filed under the name Gallus gallus (chicken). RNAcentral describes it as "lncRNA (ENSGALG00010002031.1)". Lineage: Eukaryota; Metazoa; Chordata; Aves; Galliformes; Phasianidae. The record is from RNAcentral.